Oncorhynchus tshawytscha (Chinook salmon) is the source of this 1002-nucleotide long non-coding RNA. NCBI's taxonomy places the organism in Eukaryota, Metazoa, Chordata, Actinopteri, Salmoniformes, Salmonidae. The record is from Ensembl.
CAUAAAGGACAGAGUCAUAAUAUAAUAUGAUAAUAAAUCUUCAACCAGACUGUAUGUUACAGUAUGUACACCAAGCCCAGUCAGACAGCACCUUCUAUCACGUCUACAGUUGGUUUGGUUUUCUCUUUCUUUCAGAGUUGGUAGGUUGUAAUAGAGUGCAAUAGUAAAAAUGAGUAUUACGCGUUCUUACCGCCGUAGAGUGUUUAUGAACCAUUAUAGUGUGCUAUAAACCAUUAAUACAGUUUAUAAACCAUUAAUACAUGUAAUCAGUGUAUAAACCAGUGUGUGUAAUAAUUGUGUGUUGGUAAACAUCUUUCUGUGUUGUCUGUCAGAAGGGUUUGAAGACACUGCAUUUUUUAAAUCAGUCAAAUUAACAUUUGAUCUCCUUAGACACAAAAAUAUUUAAUAUUCUGAUUAUUGUGCUCAAUCCCUGACCUUUAACCCCUGACCCUGAAAAGGAUGAGUUAAGGACGUUGUGUUAGCCUGACCUCUAACCCUGAUAAUGUAAAGGAUCAGGACGUUUACAGUCUCUCGCAGACCAAACCCUCCUACAACCACCCUGCAACGUUACAGCAACCAACCUAUAAUGCUCCUACAACACAAUCUGAAACCUCACUGUCUUCAUUAUCAUCAAACCCCUCCUAGCUUCUAUAACUGACUAGUUAGUAAAAUGGUCUCAGUCAGUUGAUUGGUUGGUUUGUUUCUUUAAGACUUUGGGACACCUGGUGGUUUCUCUCUAGGUGGUCUAGAUCUAUACUGGUUAUAUCUACACUAACAUGAGGUGGUUUCUCUCUAGGUUGUGUAGAUCUAUACUGGUUCUAUCUACACUAACAUGAGGUGGUUUCUCUCUAGGUGGUCUAGAUCUAUACUGGUUCAAUCUACACUAACAUGAGAUGGUUCCUCUCUAGGUGGUCUAGAUCUAUACUGGUUCUAUCUACACUAACAUGAGGUGGUUCUCUCUAGGUGGUCUAGAUCUAUACUGGUUCUAUCUACACUAACAUG